UCCCGUGACCUCAAGAACAAAAGUAACUACUCACAAAUAAUAAUCAUGCUCAAGAUCAGAGGGGUAUUAAAUAGCAUAUUGGAUCUGAACAUAUAAUCUUCCACCAAAUAAACCAUAUAGUAAUCAACUACAAGAUGUAAUCAACACUACUAGUCACCCACAAGCACCAAUCUGUAGUUCCGAUAACAAGAUUGAACACAAGAGUUGAACUAGGGUUUGAGAUGAGAUGGUGCUGUUGAAGAUGUUGAUGGAUAUUACCCUCCCCAAGAUGGGAGACUUGUUGGUGAUGACGAUGACGAUUAUUUCCUCCUCCGGGAGGAAAGUUCCCCUAGCGGAAUCGCUCCGCUGGAGGGCAAAAGUGCUCCUGCCCUAGUUCCGCCUCGAGAUGGCGGUGCUCCAUCCUGAAUGUCCUCUCCUUAUUUUUUCUAGGUCAAAAUGACCUAUAUACUAGAAGAUGUGCACCGAAGGUGGGCCUGGGUGAGCACAACCCACGAGGGCAUGCCUGGGCUCCCUGGUGCGCCCAAGUGGGUUGUGCCCACCUGGUGGGCCCCCUAUGGUAGUUAUUUUCUCCAAUAUUCAUCAUAUAUUUGUUAAAAAAUCUCCCUGAAGUGUCAUCUUGUUUGGAGUUGUGUAUAAUAGGUGGCCUGACGUAGCUUUUCCAGGUCCAGAUUUCCAGCUGCCAAAAUUCUCCCUCUUUGUGUAUACCUUGCAUAUUAUGAGAGAAAAGGCAUUAGAAUUACUCCAAAAAGCAUUAUUACGGAUAAAAACAUCAUAAAUAAUAGUAAGAAAACAUGAUGCAAAAUGGACUUAUCACUUUAUCACAGGGAGUCGAGGAAGUGAUCUCUGGGGCAUGUUACAACAUACUUACUAAUAUUAUAAUGUCCCACUCUUAUCUCUUCUGAUGCUGCAAGGUGCUUAAAGAUGCUAGUCUUCGAUAGGCUAGGCUUUCCCCUUCCCUUCUAGCACUAUGCAGUUUAGUCCACAGAUACAUCCCAUUUCCUUUGAUAUAGAUGCAUACUUAGUUUAGAUCGGAUGUAAGUCUUGCGAGUACUUUAGUCCACAGGUUCUUUGGAUGAGUACUCACAGAUGAUGGAUCCCAGGAGCCAGACGACACCACUGACCAGUACUACUACUACCCCAAGGGGGCGUACAACUAUGGGACGGCUGUUGACGACCAGGAGUAGUUAGGAGGCUCCCAGGCAGGAGGUGAUACGUCUCCAACGUAUCUAUAAUUUUUGAUUGCUCCAUGCUAUAUUAUCUACUGUUUUGGGCAAUAUUGGGCUUUAUUAUCCACUUUUAUAUUAUUUUUGGGACUAACCUAUUAACCGGAGGCCCAGCCCAGAUUUGCUGUUUUAUGUCUAUUUCAGUGUUUCGAAGAAAAGGAAUAUCAGACGGAGUCGAAACGGACGAAAUCAACUGGACAAGUUAUUUUUUGAAGGAAACACACUUGAUGGACUUGGACCCCACGUCAGAAGAUACGGGAGCUGCCCACGAGGGUGGGGGCGCGCCCACCCACCUAGGGCGCGCCCCCUGCCUCGUGGGGCCCCCGUGGCUCCCUUGAUGUGCUUCUUCUGCCUAUAUAACUCCAUAUACCCUAAAACUUCCAGAACGAAGAUUAGAUCGGGAGUUCCGCCGCCGCAAGCCUCUGUAGCCACCAAAAGUCAAUCGGGACCCUGUUCCGGCACCUUGCCAGAGGGGGGAUCCCUCACCGGUGGCCAUCUUCAUCAUCCCGGCGCUCUCCAUGACAAGGAGGGAGUAGUUCACCCUCGGGGCUAAGGGUAUGUACAAGUAGCUAUGUGUUUGAUCUCUCUCUCUCUCUCGUGUUCUUGAUUUGGCACGAUCUUGAUGAAUCCCAAGCUUUGCUAUUAUAGUUGGAUCCUAUGUUUCUCCUCCCCCUCUUCUCUCUUGUAAUGAAUUGAGUUUACCCCUUGAAGUAAUCUUAUCGGAUUGAGUCUUUAAAGAUUUGAAAACACUUGAUGUAUGUCUUUCCGUGUGUAUCUGUGGUGACAAUGGGAUACCACGUGAUUCACUUGAUGUAUGUUUUGGUGAUCAACUUGCGGGUUCCGCCCAUGAACCUAUGCAUAGGGGUUGGCACACGUUUUCGUCGUGAUUCUCCGGUAGAAACUUUUGGGCACUCUUUGAGGUUCUAUUUGUUGGUCGAAUAGAUGAAUCUGAGAUUGUGUGAUGCAUAUCGUAUAAUCAUACCCACGGAUACUUGAGGUGACAUUGGAGUAUCUAGGUGACAUUAGGGUUUUGGUUGAUGUGUGUCUUAAGGUGUUAUUCUAGUACGAACUCUAGGGCUGUUUGUGAAACUUAUAGGAAUAGCCCAACGGAUUGAUUGGAAAGAAUAACUUUGAGGUGGUUUCGUACCCUACCAUAAUCUCUUCGUUCGUUCUCCGCUAUUAGUGACUUUGGAGUGGCUCUUUGUUGCAUGUUGAGGGAUAAUUAUGUGAUCCAACUAUGUUAGUAUUGUUGAGGGAACUUACACUAGCGAUAGUAUGAACCCUAGGCCUUGUUUCCUAGCAUUGCAAUACCGUUUACGCUCACUUUUAUCACUUGCUACCUUGCUGUUUUUAUUAUUCCAGAUUACAAAUACCUUUAUCUACUAUCCAUAUACCACUUGUUUCACCAUCUCUUCGCCGAACUAGUGCACCUAUACAAUUUACCAUUGUAUUGCGUGUGUUGGGGACACAGGAGACUCUUUGUUAUUUGGUUGCGGGGUUGCUUGAGAGAGACCAUCUUCAUCCUACGCCUCCUACGGAUUGAUAAACCUUAGGUCAUCCACUUGAGGGAAAUUUGCUACUGUCCUACAAACCUCUGCACUUGGAGGCCCAACAAUGUCUACAAGAAGAAGGUUGUGUAGUAGACAUCAGGAGGCUUGCCUUUUCAACCGUUGUUGCUUUUGUGCUAGCCUCCUUAAGACAGACUUGUUUAACUUAUGUCUGUAGUCAGAUAUUGUUGCUUCCACUAAGUCGUUUGUAUUCGAGGUUAUGUAUUCAAGCCUCGAGGCCCCUAAAUUGUAAUAUAAAGCUUGCUUUAUUUUAAUUUGUGUCUAGAGUUGUGUUGUGAUAUCUUCCCGUGAGUCCCGCAUCUUGAUCGUACACAUUUACGUGUAUGAUUAGUGUACGAUUGAAUCGGGGGAGUCACAAGUUGGUAUCAGAGCCGACUGCCUGUAGGGAUCCCCCUUUCCAACUCCUUGGCCGAAGUUGAUUCUGGUCAUUGAAAAACUUUUACUAACAUGGCUGUGCGGCUUACGGGCCCACAUCGCCAUCGGGUGGUAUUAAGAUCUUUUAUUCCUCGCCUUUACUCUGGGACUCUAAUCUCUCUUCUAUUUGGGUUAAAUGAUUUUGCUAACUCUAACUUUAGUUUCUCGUAACUACUUCCCUCGGAUAGCCCCUCAUUCUAGAUAAUCGUCUGCUUCAUCAGAAGAUUUUGAAGAUACUAUUCGAUGCCUUCCCAAGACCGUUGUGCCCUUCGCCGUUGCAAUUCCCUACCACCGAUAAAUCCCCAUGGAUAACUACAUACACUUGCCGUCUAUACCCUGAAAUACUUUCCAAUAUUCCGAGAAUCUAUUGUGUCCGCUGCCAUGCAGCUCCUUUUCUGCAUGAAUACAUGUACGGGUAAUCCCUCACACAUAAUCGGGAUUCGCUCAUCCCCAGUUGUUCAUGUGUUUCACAAAAGCCUUCGAAAUACUAUUCAAUAUUUCAAAAAUCUUCAGCAGCCUAUUGCUCUUGAAAUUCUUGCUUGCUUGCGUUUUGGUUAAUCCCAUAAGUCUAGUAAUCUUGUUGGCAUCCUUUGUCACUAUCAUUUUGAGUCCUUGAUUCUAUAUGUUGAGGAUGCUCGCAAUCCUCAGUCGAAUCCUAGAAUUCAUCCUUCCGGCUCAGACGUCAUUUUGAACAUGAACUGGUUCUCGACCAAUCAAAUUGCCACCAGUUGUACCUCUAGGUCUAUUCAACUUACUCGAAUUUGAUCAGAGCAUUUGAUUAUGAUACACCGAUCUUGAAAUCAUAAUUUCAUUUUAUUUAAGCAUCGAAUUAUUCAGACGUUUCUAUAAUCACAUGCCUUUGCAUUCUUUCUUCUUCUGGUUUAGCAAUGGUACUCACAUCGGAUUCUUUGCGGUCUGCCAGACCCAUCGCACGAUUAUUAUCCGACAGUGUCCGUCAUAUUCAAUAACCCUGUGAGCCUUUCCUUGGAUACAUAAUGCCUUUGGUAAAUUGCAUCCUCUCCUUUUGUCAACCAUGCUCUACUUUCGAGCUUGUGUUAAUUACUCCCGAAGCUUGUGGUAUAUGUUCCUAAGAUGCCCCGAUGGGUUAAACCUAUGCCUUCCUUAAUCUGUGUGAACCCAAAAGUUUUUCACGGGUCAUACUUGUAAAAACCUGAGACUGACGCUCUAGACGCCUUCUAUGUUAUUACAUUGUUACCAUGUGUUUUAUUAGUUUGUUGCAUUCAUCAUGGCAUCAUGCGCAUUGGAUCAUCAUGUUUUCAUAAACUUGCAUCUGCUCGUAGUUGUCGCUUCUUCGAUGUCUCUAUUGACCUCCUCCCAGAUCAAUUGGGCCGCUCUCUUCUCUCGUGUCUUCUUCAUGGCCUUUUGUCAGGCACCUUGUCUUUGUCGACCUCUCUCAGACCCCCUCGCAUGUGUGUCUGAAAAAUUUACCCGGACUGAACCCAGGCACUCGUGACCAAUGGGUCCGGAUCAUCCCCAAACAUCCCUAAAAUAUCUUCAUUUUAUUCAUUGGACUCCCUAGCCUAUUUUUUUCUGUUCGAACGAUUAUGAUCGGAGGGGCUAGAUAGCCCCUAACCAAAAACCCACAUGCUAUAUAUAACAGUCUAAACCCUAGCCCCUACUUGUCCAAUCCACCCAUUCCCAUCCUGCCGCCGCCAAACAACCACCUUUGUCUUGUUUCCUCGGGUUCCCUCCUAAUCCAUUCCACCAACCAGAUCUCCGACCACCUCCCAUGAUUUUUGCCGCUGCUCAUCACCCAAGCCAACCAGAGAUCUUCUCGGAGCCCCACAGCCGCACGAGCGCCCGAGGGCCUCGCUCCUGAGCCGAGCACCGUAUUAGAGGAGCAGCGCUCUGAGCCACCCUAUCCCCGCAGCCCAAGGAGAUUAAGUGAGUGCCUGAGCGCGCCCGUCCUCGCAGCCCCGCGCUAUGAUCAGCCCCGUCAUGCCACCUUCAUCGCCCACCUCCUCGACUACCUCGCGUCGCUGCCCUCGCGACCCGCCACCUCGCCGGCUAGCAGAUGUGCACAAUGCCGCCCCUUCCCUUCCGUCUACCUCUACCUUCCUCAUUCUAUCAACUUGCUCCCUCUGCUUGUCAACAGGAGCUCUGUCAUGGCCACCCAAGGCCUUCUCCUGCCUCGAUCUGUCAAGCAUGCCGCCGGGAACGACCUCCACCCCCCAGGGCCCCGGCGACCUCACCAUCCUGGCCUCCUCCGCCGCGCCAAUGAGAGCGAUGCUGGAGCACUGCAGGUCACCGUGCCUCUGCCCAACCUUCUCCUCCUCUCGUUCCUUCCUGUCUGUCUCUCCCUCUAAUUUCUCUCUAUCUUGCCCAGGGAGUUGCCACCGUUCGGAUCGGCGUGGAUGCACACCAGAACCGUUGCCAUCUUCUUCCGAGAGCCUCCUCCGCGCCAAGUCCCAGCUGCACCAGGCCGUCGUGGUGUCCUCUGCUUCCCCUGCAACGAGCAAUAGUAGCUCGCUCGUCGUCCCGUUGACCGCGCCCCCUCCACCUCCUCAUUCGACUAAGCAAAGCCCAGCCGCGCCACAUCCGCCAGCCCAAGCCGGUCUGCUGCACUAACCGGUCCAGGCCCAAUGUGAGCAUCUGCCUAGCCCCUUUACUGUGCACUAUUGGCCAGGCCAGUUUCGGCCCAUAGUAAUUUUUUUUCUGCUGCUGCGAAUUUGUCCAAUUAUCUAGAAACUGCAUAUUUAUAGAUUGGUCCCUCCUGUUCCUGCAUAACAUAUCUCACAAACCGUGCAUCGGAUUAAAAUGUUUUAAACAUGUAAUGCUUAGAAUUUCAUCUAGUUUCAUAAUAUGCUGCUUUCAUCCAUGUUAAAAAUGUUUAACUUGCUGUUUGCUUUAAUUUGCAUAAAUAACAUGCUAAAAUGAUUUAUUUCAUAACUAAAUAACCGUAGCUCCGAAUUAAAUAAACCAUAUAUGUAAAUUGUCUAGAAAAAUGCAUAUAUUAACUUGGUAGACUUUAUUUUCCUGUUUACAAAUAAUAAAAUAUGGUUUAGGGCAGAACAGUACCAAAUUCGAAAUAUUCAUAUGGGGAUUUUCCGGAAUUGUUGUUUGUUGUUCCGGCCUCAUUUAAACUUGCCUAGAUAGGUAGUUUUAUUAUGCUUCACCUCUUUCUAUGUUUAACAACAUUUAAUAUUGUUGUGUGCCUAAAGGAGAGCGAACUAAAUAACUCAAAUGUGGUGUUUUGUCAAUAUGCAACCACUUAACUUGUAGUAUUGUUUGUUGCACUUUUCCAUGCCAUGAAUCAUUAAACCGGACAUGCAUCAUACUUGAUUGUGCAUCAUGCCAUGUUUAUGUGAUGGUUAUUUACCAUGUUGUUUGCUUCUUUCCGGUCUCAAUAGUUCUUGUUUCGUUGCGAUCGUGAGGAUUCGUUUGAUGAUACGUCUCCAACGUAUCUACUUUUCCAAACACUUUUGCCCUUGUUUUGGACUCUAACUUGCAUGAUUUGAAUGGAACUAACCCGGACUUAUGUUGUUUUCAGCAGAACUGCCAUAGUGUUAUUUUUGUGCAGAAAUAAAAGUUCUCAGAAUGACCUGAAAAUCCAUGAAGACAUGUUUGGGAAUUAAUGAAAAAUACUGGCGAAAGAAUCAGCAUCAGGGGGCCCACACACUGUCCAGGAGGGUGCAGGGCGCGGCCCCUGCCUUGUGGGCCCCCUAGGACUCCACCGACCUCAACCGCAACUCCAUAUAUUCACUUUCGGGGAGAGAAAAAUCGGAGAUAACGAUUCAUCGCGUUUUACUAUAUGGAGCCGCCGCCAAGCCCUAAUCUUCCUCGAGGGGGGGGGGCUGAUCUGGAGUCCGUCCGGGGCUCCGAAGAGGGGAAUCCGUCACCAUCGUCAUCAUCAACCAUACUCUAUCACCAAUUUCAUGAUGCUCACCACUGUGCAUGAGUAAUCUCAUCGUAUGCUUGCUGGACUGUGAUGUGUUGGAUGAGAUUUACCAUGUAAUCGAGUUAGUUUUGUUAGGGUUUGAUCCCUAGUAUCCAUUAUGUUCUAAGAUUGAUGUUGCUAUGACUUUGCUAUGCUUAAUGCUUGUCACUAGGGCCCGAGUGCCAUGAUUUAAGAUCUGAACCAUCUUUUUCAUGAAUAUAUGUGAGUUCUUGAUCCUAUCUUGCAAGUCAAUAGUCACCUACUAUGUGUUAUGAUCCGGCAACCCCGAAGUGACAAAAAUCAGGACCACUCCCGGUGAUGACCGUAGUUUGAGGAGUUCAUGUAUUCACUAAGUGUUAAUGCUUUGGUCUGGUACUCUAUUAAAAGGAGGCCUUAAUAUCCCUUAGUUUCCAAUAGGACCCCGCUGCCACGAGAGGGUAGAACAAAAGAUGUCAUGCAAGUUCUUUUCCAUAAGCAUGUAUGACUAUGUUUGGAAUACAUGCCUACAUUACAUUGAUGAAUUGGAGCUAGUUCUGUGUCACCCUAUGGUAUAACUAUUGCAUGAGGAAUCGCAUCCGACAUAAUUAUCCAUCAUUGAUCCAUUGCCUAUGAGCUUUUUCACAUAUUGAUCUUUGCUUAGUUAUUUUUCUGUUGCCACUGUUACGAUUGCUACAAAAACUACUACUGUUACUUUUGCCACCGUUACCGUUACUUCCAUACUACUUUGCUACUAAAUACUUUUCUGCAUAUAUUAAGUCUUUCAGGUGUGGUUGAAUUGACAACUCAACUGCUAAUACUUACGAAUAUUCUUUGGCUCCCCUUGUGUCGAAUCAAUAAAUUUGGGUUGAAUACUCUACCCUCGAAAAGUAUUGCGAUCCCCUAUACUUGUGGGUUAUCAAGACUAUUUUCUGGCGCCGUUGUCAUGGAGCAUAGCUCUAUUCUUUGAGUAACUUGGAAUUUAUAUCUGUUGAUCACUAUGAGGAACUUGAAAGAUGAAAGAACCAAGAUUUUUCCCUCAACUACUAGGGGAGGUAAGGAACUUCCAUCUAGCUCAGCACUUGACUCACCUUCUGUUAUGUGUAAAUUUGCGACAGCUACACCUGUUAUUGAUUCUGAUAUGUUGCAUGUUGCUGAUGAUGCCACUUUGGCUAUGCAUGAUGCUUAUGGUGAAAUUACUUCUAUGCUUGCUAAUACCAUGCCAUUAGGUGAAUUUAUUGAUGAACAACUUUCUAGGGUUAGAGAAAGUGAAAUUAUUGAAACAGAUGAUAUUGAUGAAAGUGAUGAUGAAGAUUCUUCGCCUAGAUAUGAACUGUCUGAUGUGCCUGAGGGCUAUGUUAUGGAUGAAGAAGCUGCUAGAGACCUUUUUGCCUGCAAAGAUAGAUAUGAUCUUAAAAACUGUUAGCUAAGCUGAAAGAAAAGUCUUCGAAUGCUAGAAUGAAAUAUGACCCUACUUUUUCUACUUCACCUAUCUGUAAUUCUGGUAAGGAUUAUGAUUUCUCUGCCGAUUCUGAGUUAAUUACUUUGCUUGAAUCUGAUCCUUUUUAUGGCUAUUAAUCUGAAACUAUUGUGGCACAUCUUACUCAAUUGAAUGAUAUAGCCACCCUAUUUACUCAUGAGGAAAAAAAUUGUUACUACUAUAUCCUUAAGUUAUUUCCGUUCUCAUUAAAGGGUGAUGCUAAAACAUGGUUUACUUAUCUUGCUCCUGGUUGAUUUAUUACUUCUCUGCUAAAUAUUUCCCCGCUCAUAAGAAACAAGCUGCCUUAAGGGAAAUAUACAAUUUUGUGCAAAUUGAAGAAGAGAGUCUCCCACAAGCUUGGGGGAGGCUACUCCAAUUACUUAAUUCUUUGCCUGAUCAUCCUCUCAAGAAAAAUGAAAUACUUGAUAUCUUUUAUAAUGGACUAACCGAUGCUUCAAGAGACCACCUGGAUAGUUGUGCUGGUUGUGUUUUUAGGAAAAGAACUGUUGAGCAAGCUAAAUUGCUAUUGAAUAAUAUAUCGAGUAAUGAUAAUGAUUGGACACUUCCUGAACCAACUCCUAAGCCAACUCCGAAGAAAAGGGGUAUUCUAUUUCUCAGUCCUCAAAAUAUGCAAGAGGUAAAGAAAUCGAUGAAAGAAAAGGGUAUUAAAGCUGAAGAUGUUAAGAAUUUACCACCUAUUGAAGAAAUAAAUGGUCUUAAUAACAUAACAAAGGUAGUAAAGGUAAAUUCUCUCUAUAGAUUUGAUGAAGGUGAUAUUCCUUGUAAUAAGUCUACUAGCCAAUGCUUGGAUGAGUUUGAUAAUUUUAUUGUUAAAAAGGAAAACUUCAAUGCUUAUGUUGGUAGACAAUUGAAACGAAAUGCUUAUAUGGUUGAACACUUGAGUGAUUAUAUGUAUAGAGUUAAAGGUGACCUUAAACUUAUUAGUAAACAUGCUUCUAUGUUUACCACUCAGGUAGAACAAGUGCUUAAAGCACAAGAUGAUUUGCUUAAUGCAUUAAAUAAUAAGAAAAAUUAUAAUGCUGUUGGAGUUAUGACUAGAGCGGGUAAAAUGACUCAGGAACCUUUUUAUCCUGAGGGACACCGUAAGAGAGUUGAGCAAGAUUCUCAGAUAACUAAUGUUGACGCACCUAAUCCUUCUAAGAAGAAGAAAAAGAAAAAUGAUAAGACUUUGCAUGCUUCUAGUGAACCUGUUGUUGACGCACCUGAGAAUACCAAUGAUAUUUCUAAUUCUUAUGCUGAAACACAAUCAGGUAAUGAACAUGAACCUAGUGAUAAUGAUGAUGUUCAUGUUGAUGCUCAACCUAGGAAAAACAAUGAUGUAGAGAUUGAACCUGAUGUUGAUCUUGAUAACCCACAAUCAAAGAGCCAACAUUAUGAUAAGAGAGACUUUGUUGCUAGGAAGCACGGUAAAUAAAGAGAACCAUGGGUUUAGAAACCCAUGCCUUUUCCUCCUAAACCAUCCAAGAAAAAGGAUGAUGAGGAUUUUGAGCGCUUUGAAAUGAUUAGACCUAUCUUUUUGCGUAUGCGUUUGACUGAUAUGCAUAAAAUGAAACCUUAUGCUAUAUGAAAGAUAUUGUUACAAAUAAAAGAAAGAUACCGGAAGCUGAAAUUUCCACCAUGCUUGCCAAUUAUACUUUUAAAGGUGGACUACCAAAGAAACUAGGAGAUCCUAGAGUACCAACUAUACUAUGCUCCAUUAAAAGAAACUAUGUUAAAACUGUUUUAUUUGAUCAUGGAGCCAGUGUUAGUGUUACGCCUCUCUCUUUAUAUCGUAGACUUGAUUUGAAUAAGUUGACACCUACUAUUAUAUCUUUGCAAAUGGUCGAUAAAUCAACUGCUAUACCUAUCAGUAUCUGUGGGGAUGUGCCUGUUGUGGUUGCAAACGUUACUGUUUUAACGGACUUUGUUAUUCUUGAUAUUCUCAAGGACGAUAGUAUGUUGAUUAUCCUUGGUAGACCCUUUUUGAAUACUUCAGGGGCUGUCAUUGAUUGCAACAAAGGCAAUGUCACUUUUCAUGUUAAUGGUAAUGAACAUACGGUACACUUUCCGAGGAAACAACCUCAAGUCCACAGUAUCAAUUCUAUUGGAAAACCCGAACCCGAGGAAAUAAAUAUAACUUAACGCCGGAAACGGCAAGAGUUGGAGUACAAAUUGGGAAAGUUACAUCCGGGGUGUUACAACACUCCACCACUACGAAAGGAUCUCGUCCCGAGAUCUAGGACUGAAAGAACGCCGGGUACUCAGAACGGAGGUGAUACUUGCGUUCCCAGGUAGCUUCACGGUCGGAAUGGUGUGACCACUUGACUUUGAAAAUUUUGAUUGACUUGUUGCGACUCUUGCGUUCAGUCUCUUCAAGAAUAGCAACUGGGUGCUCACGAUAAGAGAGAUCUUCUUGGAGCUCAAUGUCCUCGAAGUUGACGGUGCGGUCAGGAGUCUUGAAGCACUUUCGAAGCUAAGAGACAUGGAACACGUCAUGAACAUUUGCAAAGUUUGAAGGAAGCUCGAGUUGAUAGGCGAGGUCGCCUCUCUUGCUGACAAUCUCGAAAGGUCCCACGUAUCUAGGGGCAAGCUUCCCUUUGAUACCGAAGCGACAAGUACCUUUCAUAGGAGAGACGCGGAGGUAAACAUGAUCUCCGAUCUCGAAAGCCAAAUCACGGUGCUUACUAUCAUAGUAGCUCUUCUGGCGGGAUUGGGCCGCUUUGAGGUUAUCUCUAAUGACUUUGCACAUUUCUUCUGCCUCUGUGAUUAAGUCAUUACCCAAAAGCUGACGUUCACCGGUUUCGGACCAGUUGAGAGGGGUACGGCACUUCCUGCCAUACAGAAUUUCAAAUGGGGCCUUGCCCGAACUUGCUUGAAAACUGUUGUUGUAGGAGAAUUCAGCAUAAGGAAGACAAUCCUCCCAUUUCAUGCCGAAGGAGAUCACACAAGCCCUGAGCAUAUCUUCAAGAAUCUGGUUGAUACGCUCGACUUGACCGCUAGUUUGAGGAUGGAAAGCUGUGUUGAAGCGGAUGUUCGUGCCCAUGGCCUUCUGAAAAGAAUCCCAGAACUUCGAGGUAAAGAUGCUGCCACGGUCUGAAGAGAUCACUUGUGGAAUACCAAGAAGAGAGACAAUACGAGAGGUAUAGAGUUCCGCCAAUUGAGCUGCAGUGAUCGACUCUUUGAUAGGCAGAAAGUGAGCCACUUUGGUGAGUUUGUCGAUGACCACGAAUAUAGCAUCAUUGCCACGCUUGGACUUUGGAAACCCAGUCAUGAAUUCCAUUUCAAUGUGGUCAAACUUCCAUUCUGGAUGGCAAGAGGUUGGAGGAGACCUGCUGGCCUUUGGUGUUCUGCCUUCACUCUUCUGGAGAUAUCACAUUCAUUCACGAAUUGAGCGAUGUCACGCUUCAUUCGAGUCCACCAAUAAGCUUGCUUGAGGUCCUGAUACAUCUUCGUUCUCACAGGGUGGAUGGAGAGGAGAGAAUUGUGAGCCUCGUUCAUGAUCACUUUACGGAGGUCACCUUUGGGUACAACAAUACGAUCCUCGAAGAAGAGAGUGUCCUUGUCAUCAAGGCGGUAGCACUUGUACUUGGACUGACUCUUGGCAAUCCCAAUCUUCACCUUUUUCACCAUAGCAUCAAGAAGCUGAGCUUGGCUAAUGUGGUCUUCCAAGGUAGGAGAAACUUGAAGGUUGGCGAGGAAACCUUGAGGAACAACUUGCAGAUUAAGUUUGCGGAAAGCUUCACAAAGCUCGGGUUGAUAAGGCUUGAGAAUCAGAUUGUUGCAGUAAGCUUUCCUGCUCAAUGCGACAGCAAUCACAUUGGCCUUGCCUGGAGUAUACUCGAUACUCGGAUUAUACUCUUGAAUCAUUUCGACCCAUCGAGUUUGCUUGAGGUUGAGAUUAGGAUGAGUGAAGAUGUACUUAAGACUCUUGUGAUCAGUGAAAAUGUCCACUUUUCUUCCCAAUAGAAGAUGUCUCCAAGUCAAAAGAGCAUGCACAACUGCCGCCAACUCGGGAUCAUGAGUGGGGUAGUUCUUCUCAUUAGGCUUCAACUGGCGAGAUGUAUAAGCAACAACUUUCUUCUCUUGCAUCAAUACUGCGCCAAGACCUUGGAGAGAGGCAUCACAAAAGACUUCGUACGGUUUGGAUUCAUCAGGCGGAGUGAGAACUGGAGCAGUGAUCAAUUUCUCUUUCAAAGUGUUGAAAGCAAUGUCACACUCCGGAGACCAAAUGUACUUGACGUGCUUCUGAAGAAGAUUUGAGAGAGGGUUCGCGAUCUUAGAAAAGUUUUCAACGAAUCUUCGGCAAUAGCUUGUGAGACCGAAAAAACUGCAGAGUUGCUUCAUGUUCUGAGGAGGUUCCCAAUUCACAAUUGCAGACACCUUCUCAGGAUUCACGACAAUGCCCUUGGCAGAGAUGAUAUGACCAAGAUAAAGAACCUCAUCAAGCCAAAAUUCACACUUGGAGAACUUGGCGUAGAACUGAUGUUCCCUGAGCUUAUCAAGCACCAAACGCAAGUGUUUGGCAUGAUCUUCCUUGUUCUUGGAGAAAACCAGAAUGUCGUCGAGAUAGACCAAAACGAAGUCAUUGGUGUAGGCAUUGAAGAUGAAGUUCAUCAUGCGAGAGAACGUCGGAGGAGCGUUGGCGAGGCCAAAAGACAUGAUAGUGUAUUCAUAAGAACCAAAGCUUGUUCUGAAUGCUGUCUUGGGAAUAUCUUCUUCAUGAAUGUGAAUCUGGUGAUAACCCAUAUGGAGAUCAAGCUUGGAGAAUACUUGGGCACCUUUGAGUUGUUCGAACAGCUCAUUGAUGUUGGGAAGUGGGUAUUUGUUCUUGAUGGUCUUCUUGUUCACUGGACGGUAAUCAACACAAAGUCGGUCCGUUCCAUCCUUCUUCUUCACAAAAAGAACACCACAACUCCACGGAGAAGAACUAGGCCGGAUGAGACCCAUUUUCUCUUGAAUAUCGAGUUGCUUCUUCAGCUCCUUCAACUCUUCAGGUCCGAGCUUGUAAGGACGUUUGCACACAGGUUCCGUGCCAGGCUCAAGAUCAACAACAAAUUGACCUUGGCAUGCUUGGGUUUAUGCUUGACCACAGCUGUACUUGCCGAUCUGACAGGAGGAGGAGGAGGAAGACGCCUCUGGUUGAAACACUUGUUGGCAUAGUGACCCUUCUGUUGGCACUUGUUGCACGUGACCUCUGAAAGCGGACGGUGAUACGGAGCACUCGAUCUUGGAGCUUGAGACGAAGUCUUGUUCUGAAAGGCAGGGUUGGGUGGGUGGGAAGAACCACUGCCACAUUUGCUCUUCUGCUGAUACGGCUGACGGAACGGAGGAGGAGGAAGCCAAUACUUCUGCUGCUUGGCCACUUGAGUAGAGGAAGAAGGAGUAACAUCUCUGACUCGCUUCUUGGAAGCAUCACACCUCAACUGAGCAGCCUCUUGCUUCAGUGCCAUGUUGUAGAACUCAUCGUAUCUCAAGGGCUCAAAGAGGACAAGAGCUAGCUGAAUUUCUUCUCUGAGACCACCCCUGAACUGAUAUAUCAUGCUCUUCUCAUCAGGGACGUCCUGCUUGGCAAAGCGGGCGAGCUUCUGGAACAACUUGAAUUCGUUGUUGAUCUUGAGCCUGGCACGGAACCUGUGUGCAAACGUCCUUACAAGCUCGGACCUGAAGAGUUGAAGGAGCUGAAGAAGCAACUCGAUAUUCAAGAGAAAAUGGGUCUCAUCCGGCCUAGUUCUUCUCCGUGGAGUUGUGGUGUUCUUUUUGUGAAGAAGAAGGAUGGAACGGACCGACUUUGUGUUGAUUACCGUCCAGUGAACAAGAAGACCAUCAAGAACAAAUACCCACUUCCCAACAUCAAUGAGCUGUUCGAACAACUCAAAGGUGCCCAAGUAUUCUCCAAGCUUGAUCUCCAUAUGGGUUAUCAUCAGAUUCAUAUUCGUGAGCAAGAUAUUCCCAAGAUGGCUUUCAGGACAAGCUUUGGUUCAUAUGAAUACACUGUCAUGUCUUUUGGCCUCGUCAACGCUCCUCCGACGUUCUCUCGCAUGAUGAACUUCAUCUUCAAUGCCUACACCAUUGACUUCGUUUUGGUCUAUCUCGACGACAUUCUGGUUUUCUCCAAGAAUAAGGAAGAUCAUGCCAAGCACUUGCGUUUGGUACUUGAUAAGCUCAGGGAACAUCAGUUCUACGCCAAGUUCUCCAAGUGUGAAUUCUGGCUUGAUGAGGUUCUUUAUCUUGGUCAUAUCAUAUCUGCCAAGGGCAUUGCUGUGAAUCCUGAGAAGGUGUCUGCAAUUGUGAACUGGGAACCUCCUCAGAACGUGAAGCAACUCCGUAGCUUCCUCGGUCUCGCAAGCUAUUUCCGAAGAUUCGUUGAAAACUUUUCUAAGAUCGCGAAGCCUCUCUCUAAUCUUCUUCAGAAGCACGUCAAGUACGUUUGGUCUCCGGAGUGUGACAUUGCUUUCAACACUUUGAAAGAGAAAUUGAUCACUGCUCCAGUUCUGACUCCGCCUGAUGAAUCCAAGCCGUACGAGGUCUUUUGUGAUGCCUCUCUCCAAGGUCUUGGCGUAGUAUUGAUGCAAGAGAAGAAACUUGUUGCUUAUACAUCUCGCCAGUUGAAGCCUAAUGAGAAGAACUACCCCACUCAUGAUCUCGAGUUGGCGGCAGUUGUGCAUGCUCUUUUGACUUGGAGACAUCUUCUAUUGGGAAGAAAAGUGGACAUUUUCACUGAUCACAAGAGUCUCAAGUACAUCUUCACUCAGCCUAAUCUCAACCUCAGGCAAACUCGAUGGGUCGAAAUGAUUCAAGAGUAUAAUCCGAGUAUUGAGUAUACUCCAGGCAAGGCCAAUGUGAUUGCUGAUGCAUUGAGCAGAAAGGCUUACUGCAACAGUCUGAUUCUCAAGCCUUAUCAACCCGAGCUUUGUGAAGCUUUCCGCAAACUUAAUCUGCAAGUUGUUCCCCAAGGUUUCCUUGCCAACCUUCAAGUCUCUCCUACCUUGGAAGACCAGAUUCGCCAAGCUCAGCUUCUUGAUGCUAUAGUGAAAAAGGUGAAGAUUGGGAUUGCCAAGAGUCAGUCCAAGUACAAGUGCUACCGCCUUGAUGACAAGGACACUCUCUUCUUCGAGGAUCGUAUUGUUGUACCCAAAGGUGACCUCCGUAAAGUGAUCAUGAACGAGGCUCACAAUUCUCUCCUCUCCAUCCACCCUGGGAGCACGAAGAUGUAUCAGGACCUCAAGCAAGCUUAUUGGUGGACUCGAAUGAAGCCCGAUAUCGCUCAAUUCAUGAAUGAAUGUGAUGUCUGCAGAAGAGUGAAGGCAGAACACCAAAGGCCAGCAGGUCUCCUCCAACCUCUUGCCAUUCCAGAAUGGAAGUUUGACCACAUUGAAAUGGACUUCGUGACUGGGUUUCCAAAGUCCAAGCGUGGCAAUGAUGCUAUAUUCGUUGUCAUCGACAAACUCACCAAAGUGGCUCAUUUUCUGCCUAUCAAAGAGUCGAUAACUGCAGCUCAAUUGGCGGAACUCUAUACCUCUCGCAUUGUCUCUCUGCACGGUAUUCCACAAGUGAUCUCUUCAGACCGUGGCAGCAUCUUUACCUCGAAGUUUUGGGAUUCUUUUUAGAAGGCCAUGGGCACCAACAUCCGUUUUAGCAUAGCUUUCCAUCCUCAAACUAGCGGUCAAGUCGAGCGUGUCAACCAGAUUCUUGAAGAUAUGCUCAGGGCUUGUGUGAUCUCCUUCGGCAUGAAGUGGGAGGAUUGUCUUCCUUAUGAUGAAUUCUCCUACAACAACAGUUUUCAAGCAAGUUCGGGUAAGGCCCCUUUUGAAAUUCUGUAUGGCAGGAAGUGCCGUACCCCUCUCAACUGGUCUGAAACCGGUGAACGUCAGCUUUUGGGUAAUGAAUUAAUCACAGAAGCAGAAGAAAUGUGCAAAGUCAUUCAUGAUAACCUCAAAGCAGCCCAAUCCCGCCAGAAGAGCUACUAUGAUAGUAAGCACCGUGAUUUGGCUUUCGAGAUCGGAGAUCAUGUUUACCUCCGUGUCUCUCCUAUGAAAGGUACUCGUCGCUUCAGUAUCAAAGGGAAGCUUGCCCCUAGAUACGUGGGACCUUUCAAGAUUAUCAGCAAGAGAGGCGACCUCACCUAUCAACUCGAGCUUCCUUCAAACUUUGCAAAUGUUCAUGACGUGUUCCAUGUCUCUCAGCUUCGAAAGUGCUUCAAGACUCCUGACUGCACCGUCAACUUCGAGGACAUUGAGCUCCAAGAAGAUCUUUCCUAUUGUGAGCAUCCAGUUGCUAUUCUUGAACAGACUGAACGCAAGACUCGCAACAAGUCAAUCAAAUUUCUCAAAGUCAAGUGGUCACACCAUUCCGACCGUGAAGCUACCUGGGAACGCGAGGAUCACCUCCAUUCUGAGUACCCGGCGUUCUUUCAGUCCUAGAUCUCGGGACGAGAUCCUUUCGUAGUGGUGGAGUGUUGUAACACCCCGGAUGUAACUUUCCCAAUUUGUACUCCAACUCUUGCCGUUUCCGGCGCUAAGUUAUAUUUAUUUCCUCGGGUUCGGGUUUUGUCUCCGUGUGUUGUUGUCGCUGUCAUGCAUAUCAUAUCAUGUCAUCAUGUGCAUUGCAUUUGCAUACGUGUUCGUCUCAUGCAUUCGAGCAUUUUCCCCGUUGUCCGUUUUGCAUUCGGGCGCUUCGUUCUCCUCCGGUGGUCAUUUCUAGCUUUCUUUCGUGUGUGGGGAUUAAACAUUUCUGGAUUGGACCGAUACUUGCCAAGCGGCCUUGGUUUACUACCGGUAGACCGCCUGUCAAGUUUUGUAUCAUUUGGACUUCGUUUGAUACUCCAACGGUUAACCGAGGGACCGAAAAGGCCUCUUGUGUGGUUCAGCCCAACACCCUUUCAAUUUGGCCCAAAACCCACCUAACUCUGUUCCAUCAUCUAGAGCGUUCGAUCACGAUCGCGUGGCCGAAAACCGCACCUCAUUUGGACUCUCCUAGCUCCCUCUACGCCUAUUUAAAGAACCCCUCGAAAAAUUCGCGGAUCCCCUCUCGAAACCCUAGUCCCCUUCGUCUCCACGCGCCGGCGGACGAAUUUCCGUCCGGCUGGACGUGUCCGCUGCUUCCCGCCGCAGCCACGUGUCGCCGCCUCAUUCGCCGCCGCCCGGUCCCCAGUUCACCGCGCCGCCAGGGCCCGCGAGGCCCAUCGCCGGCCCUCCCCGGCCCGCAGCNNNNNNNNNNNNNNNNNNNNNNNNNNNNNNNNNNNNNNNNNNNNNNNNNNNNNNNNNNNNNNNNNNNNNNNNNNNNNNNNNNNNNNNNNNNNNNNNNNNNNNNNNNNNNNNNNNNNNNNNNNNNNNNNNNNNNNNNNNNNNNNNNNNNNNNNNNNNNNNNNNNNNNNNNNNNNNNNNNNNNNNNNNNNNNNNNNNNNNNNNNNNNNNNNNNNNNNNNNNNNNNNNNNNNNNNNNNNNNNNNNNNNNNNNNNNNNNNNNNNNNNNNNNNNNNNNNNNNNNNNNNNNNNNNNNNNNNNNNNNNNNNNNNNNNNNNNNNNNNNNNNNNNNNNNNNNNNNNNNNNNNNNNNNNNNNNNNNNNNNNNNNNNNNNNNNNNNNNNNNNNNNNNNNNNNNNNNNNNNNNNNNNNNNNNNNNNNNNNNNNNNNNNNNNNNNNNNNNNNNNNNNNNNNNNNNNNNNNNNNNNNNNNNNNNNNNNNNNNNNNNNNNNNNNNNNCAGCCAACGCCGGCUGCCCGGAGCUCCUCCGCCCCGCCACGUGCUCGCCCGAGGCCGGCGAGCUUCCUUCGCCGCCCCGCAAGCCGGCACCGCCCCGGCCCCUUCCUUCCUCUAACUCCGGCCGUCACCGUCCAUCGUCGCCGACCAGCCUGCCGGCGAGCUCGGAUCCACCUCAGGAGGCGCGCCCCGAUCCAGAUCCGAGACGGCUACAAUAAACCCUAGGAGAUGUUUUUUUUUGCGAACUCCCGAGAUUGCAGAUCCAAGUGCCUCUGUUCGGGGCCUCGUAUCUUUGCAUCCGUAGCUCCGAUUGAUGCAUAUAGCAUAUCAAAAUGUUCAUCUCAGAGGGUACAUCAUUUCAUUCCAUUGUGUCAUUUUCAUUUGAGUUCAUCUUGACACCCGAAAUGCUGUUAGAAGAUGGCUACUUGAGAUUAUUGUCAGAUCUGCUACUCCGUUUAGCACUUUUGUCAUUUUUGCCAUGAUUAAUGUGUGCAUGCUAUGCCCGUGAGUUCUACAUGUGUUUUGUUAAGGGUUUUGUCAUCUUUCCAGAGGUGCAACCCAUGUAUUUUUAGGAUGUGUGUGGUGACUAGUGCAAGCUUGCAAAGAGGUGCACUUGCUAAUUCUGUUUCCAGGGACUUAGUAAUUUCACUAAGUCCUGCAGUUGUUUAUCUCAUGAAGCCAUAUGUUCUUGUUGUUUCCUAGUGAUCUGUGCCUCUUUUGAGGAUAAUCAGUAAGGGAGUUUUGUUAAUAUUAUAUUGUUAUAUCCAUCCAUGUCUUUGUUUGCAAUUAUGGAGCACCCUAGCUUGAGUCAAUCGAGCUCUACUUUUGCUACUUUGUGAAUCUGGGCAGAUUGUCAACUUGUUUGCAAUUUUGCCGAUGAUGUUGUAGUUGGUCCGUGCAUGCUAUGCUAUUUUUUCUUGCCAUGUCUAGCUUGCAUUUUGUGCCCUCGUUAUGGGUGUAUGCUUGUCUUCCCAUGACUUGCACCGUAGUGAGUGCAUCGAGCUCAUAAACAUGCCUACUUGAGUUAGAUUUCAGCAUGUGUCAGUUUUCACUAAGUCUGAAAACUGAUUAUGUUUUUGCUAUGUUCACAUGCUUGCAAUUGUAGUUUCUGAUCCCUUUUGGCUCAAGGUCACUAAGGGACUUUUGUUAAGCUCUUUGAGUAGCUCCAUGAAAUGCUUUACUUUGCCAUGUUCAGAUCCUGUAGCAUGUGGUUUUGUUGCUCCGAAGAGGGCUACCUGAUCUGAAAUUCCAGACAAGUGUUGAUUUCACUAAGUCUGAGAUCUGUUUGCCAUAUGCAUUUUUGCCAUGCUUGUUUGAACCUGUUAAUGGAUGAAUUUGGCCGUAGCUCAGUGCUAGAUUUUUGUUAAGCAUCUUAUGUGCAUCCCUGGCAUGUAUUUUGUUGUCAUAUUUGGUGGCUGUAGCAUGUUCAUUUCGUUGCAUUUAGAUGCCUACUUGCUGUAAAUCGCAGACCGGUGUCAUUCUUGAAUCGCUUGCCAUUUCCAAACCGUAACUCCGAUUCCGGCGUUCUUUAUAUCGUUUUCAAGCGAUUUCAUCUCAUCUUUCCAAUGGCGUACUUGGAAUUCCAAGUUGAGGCCCGGUUCAUACGUUUCCUGUCAUAUCUUGCAUUUUGCAUCCCGCAUCGCAUUCCGCAUAGCAUAUCAUCAUUUCAUCAUCGUUGCAUCAUCUUGUUUGCUCCUUGCACAUGGUUGAUUGUAUACUUGUUGGUUGUUUGUCUUGUUUGGGUAGAGCCGAGAGACGAGUUCGCUAACGAGGAGCCCGUUGAGCUUGCUUUCGAGGAUCCAGUCAACUCUGACAACUGUGCAGGCAAGAUGAUCAUACCCUCGAAAUCACUACUAUCUUUGCUAUGCUAGUUUGCUCGCUCUUUUGCUAUGCCAAUGCUACGAUGCCUACCACUUUCUUGCAAGCCUCCCAAAAUGCCAUGUCAAACCUCUAACCCACCAUUGUCCUAGCAAACCGUUGAAUGGCUAUGUUACCGCUUUGGUCAGCCCCUCUUAUAGCAUUGCUAGUUGCAGGUGAAGAUUGAAGGCCGUUCCUUGUUGGAACAUUUAUUUACUUGUUGGGAUAUCAUUAUAUUAUCUUGUUAUCUUAAUGCAUCUAUAUACUUGGUAAAGGGUGGAAGGCUCGGCCUCUCGCCUAGUGUUUUGUUCCACUCUUGCCACCCUAGUUUCCGUCAUAUCGGUGUUAUGUUCCCGGAUUUUGCGUUCCUUACGCGGUUGGGUUAUAAUGGGAACCCCUUGAUAGUUCGCCUUGAUUAAAGCUUUUCCAGCAAUACCCAACCUUGGUUUUACCAUUCGCCACCUAGCCUCUUUUUCUCUUGGGUUACCGGAGCCCAAGGGUCAUCUUAUUUUAACUCCCCCCCGGGCCAGUGCUCCCUCUGAGUGUUGGUCCGAACCGGGCAGCCUGUGGGGCCACCUCGGGGAAACUCGAGGGUUGGUUUUACUCGUAGCUUGACCUAUCUGAGUGUGCCCUGAGAACGAGAUAUGUGCAGCUCCUAUCGGGAUUUGUCGGCACAUUCGGGCGGUGUUGCUGGUCUUGUUUUAACCUGUCGAAGUGUCUUGAGUUACCGAGAUACCGAGUCUGAUCGGAACGUCUUGGGAGGAGGUCUAUUCCUUCGUUGACCGUGAGAGCUUGUCAUGGGCUAAGUUGGGACUCCCCUGCAGGGGUUGAACUUUUGAAAGCCGUGCCCACGGUUAUGGGCAGAUGGGAAUUUGUUAAUGUCCGGUUGUAGAUAACUUGAACCUUAACUUAAUUAAAAUGAAUCAACUGAGUGUGUUACCAUGAUGGCCUCUUCUCGGCGGAGUCCGGGAAGUGGACACGGUGUUGGAGUAAUGUUUGCGCAGGUUGCUCUCUAGUUUCUCACUCGCGCUUUGUCUCCUCUUCUCACCAGAUGCAGGGCCUGAUGAUUCCGCUCCAGGAGACGCGUAUGAGCUCAAGUGGGAGUUCAACAAAGACUCUCAACAUUACUAUGUUUCCUUUCCCGAUGAUCAGUAGUGGUGCCCAGUUGGGGGUGAACGGGACCAUGUCGCAUGUUGGGUUCUCUUUUAUUUUGGCGCCGUAGUCGGGCCAUGAGUGUUUGGAUGAUGUAAUGUUAUUUAUGCACUUGAUUGACGUGGCGAGUGUAAGCCAACUAUGCUAUCUCCCUUUUUAUUAUCAUAUUACUUGGGAUGUUGUGAAGAUUGCCUAACUUGCGACAUAUGCCUUCAAUGCGAUUAUGUCUCUAAGUCGUGCCUCGACACGUGGGAGCUAUAGUCGCAUCGAGGGUGUGACAAAUAAGAUAUUUGCUUGAGAGCAUAGCACAUGGCUAGAUAUGGUCUUAUUGUAUAUAAAUGAAUUCCAACCACAUGAACAUCAAAGACAUCACAACUAGCAACAAGACAUCAUUGUUGGGAUGCUUUGAGAAAGGAAACAAGUAUAACAAGAAAGAAUGGAUAACAUGCCAUGAUACAACCUACACAAGGUUAAUGCAAGAAAUGUGUGCAUGAAGUAUAUGAAGAUACUUGUUACCGAGAUAACAUUGGAAGGAUGUAGUUGAUAUCAAUUGAAGGUACAAAGUAGUUCAUUGAUCAUCCUAGCUUGACUCCAAUAAGCACAUGGUGACAACACCUUCCUUCUGAGUGAGCCGAGCAUCCAAUGCAUCUCCACUUGUUCCUAGAACAACAACACAAACAAAAUGGUACCCAAACUCAUUGGGACCAAAGAGUUAGAGAACCAACAACACAUAGGACAAACUCCACAUAAAUAUGUGCAUAUAGAUAUGAAAAUGAAUUUCAUGCACAUCUCAUCCAAUUUGAGACUUGGUGGAGUUCCCCCUAUAUAUUGGGUCAAAGAAAGAAAACAUGCCAAAGAAACUACAAGAAGUAAAUAUGCAUGCUCAAGACUUUCAAGAACCGAGACCAAAAGAUAAAGAAAUACCAAGCGAAGAAAAGAUACCAAAUGAGUAAAUCAUCACUUGGAGGAUAUCCAUAAAAGAUACAUCAAGGAAUGAGAUAUCCAUUGAUACACUAAAAAAGAAAGAUGGCAAACUCCCAAAAGAGAGAAUGGUUCCAAACAAACGAAGCCCUCUACAAAGUUUCAUGAUGGCACAAAGCACCAAAAAGAAACGACUUGCCUUCCACAAACACACACUUGAUAGGGAUCAUAAGAUGAGUGUUUUAUAGAGAAUAGGAUAGCUCCCCCAAGACUAGUGCAUUAUAGAGAAUUUGCAUUUGAAUACAAAAUGCACGAGGUGGGAUCACCACUUUCACUAUAUCUAGAAAACACUAGACAAGGCCAAGAAAUUAACAAGAUCCACAAGUGGUAUGGAAUACAAUGGGAGUUGACACAAUCCUAGGCAAGAGAUAAAGCAAAUAAAAGAAAAGACCAAUGUAAAGAUGAUCAAUAAUUUCUACCACACAUAAGUGAGUACCAAUUGUCAAAAGACAAGAAGUAUUUGGAAAUAAUUCCCGGUGGUAGAUAACAAGGAUAUCCGACAUCAUCUUCACACCAAACAAAAAGCAAAUUGCAUCUUGUAGAGCUAACAUGCCACAUAGGAACAAAAUAAUUUACAAUAUCAAUUCUAGGUUACAAUAUCUCAAAUGCACACAUUUUCUAGGCUAAUAAUAUACACAUAGCAUAUUAAUCCCCCAUAAUGUGAUACCAAUUAAAGAUAAACAAGAGGCAAAAAAACGAUCCAACACAAGAUAAUUAAUGGACAAUAUAGAAUUUGAAUUUCUCAUGAGAAGACAUACCACAUAGCGACUAGAUAAUCUUGAAAUAUCAAUACUAGAUGGUAUUACUCAUGUACACACAUAUAUAGGAUUGUGAGGUGCACAAAGCACAUCACUCCCCCAUAAUGGGAUAUUCCAUUAAUCUCUCACUAGAGCCAACUAAGAAAAGAACAAGAUGCAAAAGGCUCAAUGCAUGACACACACGUACAUGAUGUGCAAACCAACACACACAUACUUGAUUGCGCAAGAUAAUCAAGUUGGAAGCACAACAUAUACAAACACAUGCAAGGGACAAAACCAAACAUGCAAAGGGUAAGUAACUAUCAAUGUAAACACUUUAAGCACGAGUUACCGCAUGGAGAAACAUUGGAUAUAAGAUAGAAACUUGAUAAUUCGAAUAACUUGGCUUGAGACAAUUAGAAUGAUGAAGUCCCCUUAAUUAUUCAUAAAGUAGCCAAGUCUCCAAUGCCCUCCAACAACACCUAUUGAUCAAGUUUGAGCUUGUUGGUCCCCAAACAAGUUGGGUCCUAAGAGGUUAGCCACAAUAGGCUUGGCUACCCAAAUGGUUCUCUUCUUGACACCACUUUGAGUACCAACAACUUUGGCAAACACAUUGCCAACCUUAUCCUUCCCAAGAGAAUAGAUAUCAUCUAAUAAUUGGGUUGGAUAAGUUACCACUAGUGCAUGAAGAGGCGAGGUGACCUUUCUCAUGACAUAAGUAGCAACGUCUACUCUUCACUUUCUUCUCACUUGAUUUCUCAAUUUGAGAAGCAAAAGCUUGAGUCUUCUUGGGAAGAGGCUUUUCUUCAAGUUGAGGUUGAGCAUGAGAAUGAACUUGUGGCCGCUUCCCUUGUUGCUUGUCACUAAUGGGUUUCUUCUUCAAUGGGCAAGAUCUAACAUGAUGCCCUUCAAUUUUGCACUUGAAGCAAAUAAUCUUAGCCAAAUUCUUGACUUGUUAUUGGCCCUUCUUCUUGAUCAUUUUGGACUUCUUCUUCUUAUUGGAGUUGAAUCCAAGUCCACCUUUGUCAUUGGGGGAUUUUUGCACACUCAAGAUAUUGUUGAGUGUGGAUUUCCCUUCAUGACUCUUUUUCAAGUCUUUCUUCAAAGAAGUGACUUGGGCCUUGAGCUCUUUGAUUUCCUCUACAUGGUUAGUCUCAACACAAGUACUAGAGGAAGUAUAAUCUUCAUCGUUAGAGCAACAAGGCAAGGAAAGCAAUUCAUCACAAGAUGUACAAACAUUGUGAGUAGAUGAAUUACAAGGACUAGCACAUGGCAAUAUAGCAUUUUGACUAGAAGUAGUGCUAGUAUCCACAUGAGGCUCACUAGAUGUUACCUUAGAAAUCAUGGCCUCAUGAGCUAUCUUUAGCUCAUUAUGGGAUACUAGAAGAUCAUCAUGAGAGCUUGAGAGCUUUUCAUGGUUUUCUUCCAAUUUCCCAUAAUUGCUAGAUAGCAACUCAAGUUGAGCCCGAAGCUCAACAUUCUCCUUCAAAAUGGAUGCUUCACAAGUAAUAGAGUUAGUAGCACAAACAUCAUCAUUAGCAACAAGAGGAGAAGACAACUUGGCAAGCUCUUUUGAAUAUGAAGCUUUAAGUUGUGCAUGAGACUCGGUGAGUUUGAUGAGCUCACUCUUAAUGACCCUUGAGCCAUUUUCGAGGUGCCCAAAGUCCUCAAGGAGUUUAGCAUGCGCAACUUCAAGCUUCCCAUUUUUAGUUUCAAAAACAUUGGCCACCUCAAUAGCUCUAUCAUGAGAUUCCUUCACUCUAGAUAAUUCUAGAGCAAAAGUCUCCUCAAGAGAUUCCUUAGUGGUUUGUUCAAGUUCGAGAGCUUGGGAGAGGUCCGCGAUCUCAUUAGCAUAAUCACGCUCAUGACCUUCCAUUUUAUCAAUGGUGACCUCAUGCUCCUCAAGACGAGAUUCCAACUCAUCAAUAUAUUUCUUGCCCUCAAUAGCAAUAGACAUGAUUUCCAUGAAGUUGUAACGAGAAAUUUUAUUCUUAAGAAGAGCUUUAAAAAUCAUUUUCCCCUUAAUUUUUAAGGAGGUGACAUCAUCAUUCUCUUCAUCAUAAUCAACAUCAUCAUCACUCUUGCCAUCAUCAAUAUCAUCACAAGAAAUAUUGGGAUUCAAAGUGGGAUAUACCUUUGAAGCCUUGGCCAUAAGGCAAAAUGCAAUAGAUGAUGAUGUACGAUCCCUUGAAGCACCAUCCAAGACCACAUCUUGUUCCAUGGAGUGUUGGGUUUCCUCUACAUUGUUAGCACAACAACUCGAGGAAAUACAUGCAUUUUUAUCAUGGCAACAAGAUAUAGCAAGCAUAUCAUCAUGAGAUUUAGUCAAGCAAUUUUUACAUGAUAUGCAAGGACUAUCAACACAAGCAUGUGAAACAUGUAUGGUGCUUGAAGUGUUAAAGUCCAAAGAAGAUGCAUUGCAAUAAGAUAGUGAUGAAGUAUCAUCCACAAUAACCAUACUAUCAUUAUUGCAAUGACCAACACUACUCACCAUAUCAUUACCUUGUGGCAAACCACAUGUAGGUGAAGUAGAACAAGUUGAGAAGACUAUACGACCGGAGGUGGAGGGAGAACAAUCAUCCCCACAAAUCUUGGACACACCAUAUUUAUCUUGAAGCUUCGUCCACAACUCAUGAGCAUCCCGGAACGACAUGAGUUGAAAUAUAACUACAUUGCUCAAAGCAUCGAAAAGCACAUUAGAAGCUUGAGCAUUGAGAUAAGAGUUUUUCUCAUCCUCUAAAGAUAAUCUUUGGGGAUCCUUUGGAGGAGAAAAACCCAUAUCUACAAUUCGCUCUAAAUUUGGGUCCAUGACCCUAAAGAGAUUAAGCAUGCGAAUUACCCAAACAUCAAAAUUUGUGCCAUCGAAACUAAGAGUGUCAGAGAAUCCUAAACCCCUAGUCGACAUCCUUACUCUCUAGGCGGUUAAGCCCUAUAAAGAGAGAUGAGGCUCUGAUACCAAUUGAAAGAUCGUGGAUGUCGCCUAGAGGGGGGGGUGAAUAGGCAUUUUUAAAAUAAUUACGGUUUAGGCUUGAACAAAUGCGGAAUAAACCUAGCGGUUAAUUUGUCAAGCACAAAACCUAAAACAACUAGGCUCACCUAUGUGCACCAACAACUUAUGCUAAGCAAGAUAAGCAACUAUGUGAUAGCAAGAUAUAUGACAAGAAACAAUAUGGCUAUCACAAAGUAAAGUGCAUAAGUAAAGGGGCUCGGGUAAGAGAUAACCAAGGCACACGAAGACGACGAUGUAUCCCGAAGUUCACACCCUUGCGGAUGCUAAUCUCCGUUUGGAGUGGUGUGGAGGCACAAUGCUCCCCAAGAAGCCACUAGGGCCACCAUAAUCUCCUCAUGCCCUCGCACAAUGCAAGAUGUCAUGAUUCCACUAAGGGACCAUUGAGGGCGGUCACCGAACCCGUACAAAUGGCAACCCUUGGGGGCGGUCACCGAACCCGUACACUUUGGAAACCCUUGGGGGCGGUCACCGGUACCCGUCAAAUUGCUCGGGGCGAUAUCCACAACCUAAUUGGAGACCCCGACGCUUGCCCGGAGCUUUACACCACAAUGAUUGAGCUCCGAACAAGACCAACCGUCUAGGGCGCCAAGGCACCCAAGAGGAACAAGCUCUAGGGUGCCCAAACACCCAAGAGUAAUAAGCUUCUCAAACUUCACUUCCACGUAUCACCGUGGAGAACUCAAACCGAUGCACCAAAUGCAAUGGUAAGGGCACACAGAGUGCCCAAGUCCUUCUCUCUCAAAUCCCACCGAAGCAACUAAUGCUAGGGAGGAAAAUGAGAGGAAGAACAAGAAGGAGAACACCAAGAACUCCAAGAUCUAGAUCCAAGGGGUUCCCCUUACCUAGAGGAGAAAGUGAUUGGUGGAAACGUGGAUCUAGAUCUCCUCUCUCUUUUCUUUCAAAAACUAGCAAGAAUCCAUGGAGGGAUUGAGAGUUAGCAAGCUCGAAGAAGGUCAACAAUGGGGGAAGAACACGAGCUCAAAGGAUAAGGUUCAUUGGGGAAGAAGACCCCCUUUUAUAGGUGGGAAAAAAUCCAACCGUUAUGCUCACAGCCCGCACAGAGCGGUACUACCGCUCCAAGGAGCGGUACUACCGCUAGGGCGGAAGUACCCCUUUGAAAAACAACAGCGAGGAGGCAAAAGGCCAGUAGAACCACCGGAGCGGUACUACCGCUCGUCCUCACGAUACUACUGCUCGACCUCAUGGUACUACCGCAAAUGGUAGCGGUACUACUGCUUGCGAGCGGUACAAAAAAAAUACUUCCGUGCCUACUUCCGCUGAGCAAAACACAAGAUUUUGGUCCGGAGCGGUACUACCGCUCAGGAGCCGCAGUAGUACUGCUCUGGAGCGGUAGUAAAAAAUUACAUCCGCUCUAGCCACGGUACUACCGCUGCAGCCUUUACAAAAACAACCAUAACUUCUACAAACGGACUCCGAAUACGAUGAAACCAAGUUUGUUGGAAAGCUAGCGACAAGGGCUAACACAAUCUUGAUAUAAAUACCAAUAAGAAGCAAAUGAGAAAAGGCCCAAAUGAAAAUGGUGAGAACCCUUCCUCGGAUAAGACCGGUAAAACCUCCAACAUCGAAAACAUCAUAGAAGACGCAUGCAAACUCCGUUUUCGAUGAAAUCAAGCUUGUCAUAAAGAUGACCAUAAGCUCUAAGACUCACAAAGAGAACCAAACAAGAACCAAGAAACAUGAUGUAAGGAUGCAAUGGUUUGAGCUCUCGACGAUAGAUAAGAUCAAACUCACUUGAGAACCCCCCUUGAUAGUACGGCUAUCGAUCAUAUAACCCGGUCUCCCAACUACCACCACGAGACCGGUAAAAUAGAAAACCUAUCAAGGGCAAACCUUUACAUUGCACAUGAUCCACUUGAGCUAGAUGAUGACGAUCUUUUCCUCCUCAAGAUGGACCACCUUUCUUGAUUGCGUUGGGUCGAUGUAGACUAGAUGAUUGCUCCCCCAUACUCCACUAUGGGUGAGCCACUCUUCGGCACAUCUUCACAAGUCCAUUGACACCACAAUGGAUGGCAAGAUUCAAGCACUUGAUCCCUUCGUGAUUCUCCACUUGAACUUGCACACGGCAAUCUUGAUGACGAUCACCACUUGAUGUCAUCCUUCCCAUGGGUUGUAUGUUAUCAUCCUCUUGACGCAAGCCCAUGGACAUGUACCUAACCCCACAUAAACUCUCACAUAGACCAUGGGUUAGUACACAAAGUGCAACGGAUAAUGCUUACCAUACCAUGGGAUCACUUGAUCCCUCUCGGUACAUCUUCUACUCUUUGUGAGUCGAUCAACUUGAUUCACUCUUGACUUAGUCUUGAUCAACCUUGAAUCUUUCCAACUCUCUUCGUUUGGAUGAUGUCUUGAAGGUAAACAUGAAUGAUCACACAAUCUUCUUCUUCAAGACAUGCUUGCAAUAAGCUCAACACUCACAUGACCAAUCUUUGGAUAAUUCCUUAAUAGCACCUUGGUCAACCCAUAAACUCCUUGAAACCAACACAUGGACUUUAAGAAAUGCCUAUGGAAAAAUCCUUCAAAUAUAACUCAAUGCAACCAUUAGUCCAUAGAGAAUGUCAUCAAUUACCAAAACCACACAUGGGGGCACCGCAUGUCCUUUCAACUCUCUCUCUCUCUCUCUCUCUCUCUCUCUCUCUCUCUCGUCUAUCCAAACUGAUUAAAAUUAGGCUUUUAUCAUUUAUGCCACUACUAAUAUCACACUACUGUCAUUAAAAGUUGCAACUGGUCUCUCUCGUCAGAUGUUUGCUUAAAAAUGGCAUUAGAUACCUAGAAAUUUCCAUCAUUUCAUUAGAUGUUUGCUUAAAAAUGCCAUUAAACAUCGUUAUUGUCACGUCAAAUCUGUUGACCAUGUUAUAUGACAAAAAUAUCCCAAGACUCACAUGUUAGAUCUCUCUAUCUCACAAUGAUAAGUGUGGGUCUCAUUUGUGAGAGUAAGCAAGCGAACAAUUUUAGAGAAAAAUAAGAAUGUUGUUGGAUAUCGAGUGGGGCCCACACUUUAUCGUAGUGAGAUAGAGGGAUAUCUGACUUGUUGGUCCAUUUGAAUUUUGACCGUUAUAAUAUGACAAACGGGUUUUGAGCUGACAAUAAUGAGAGUGACAUUUUUGAGCAUGCACCUAAUGCGUCAAUGACUAUUUUGAACAGUUGAAAUUUCUAAAGGCAAAAUCAAGUAGUGGGAUACAACUGAUGCCAUAUAUGAUAUAAGAAAACCUUACAUAUUUUCCUAAUUAAAUAUCUGGCCACUUUAAUCGCUACUCUCUUUAUUUUUUUUUAAAUGUACUUUCAACUUUGUUGGAAAGUAAAACAUUUUAUAUUUGACCGUAUUUAUACAAUAAUACACCAACACUUAUGCCAUGAAAUUAGUAGCAUUAGAUUCAUAAUAAAAUAUAUUUUCAUCAUAUACUAUUUGAUUUCACAAACAUUGAUAUAUUUUUGCGUAAAUUCAAUCAAACUUUGAGAUAGUUUGACCCUUCAACAAAGUUAAAAGUACACUCUUUAAAGGACGGAGAGAGUAGCAUCCAAUCUAGAUUAGCUCCAUACGUAACUAGUACUAGUUGUAGCACUAGCCUAAAACAAAAGGAUGCCUUCUAGCCUUCGGAAAAAUGUUUUACGCCAGACGACCGGCUAUCUCUUGCGCUGGUCGCACCAAGCGCUGGUACAUCCCCACGCAUCCACGUACAUAGCUAUGGCCCAGCUCACCGCCCCGCUCUUAUCCCCUUACGCAUUUUCCUUCACAGCCUCUCCUUCCACCUCACGCAGGCCCAAUUCAAUCUUCUCUCUCCGUUCAGCCCUCAUCCCUACACGACAGGGCCACAUAUUUUUGCUGCCGCGCACAUCUCGUCCAAGAUCGAUGGCGAGGUCAUCGGCAUCGCGCUCCUUUCCUGUAGAGUCGCUGGACGUCCGCGCGCAACGAGCUUUUCCAUGGCGAACGAGAGCUUCGCCCAAAGAUUUCUGUGACGACUGCGUCUGAGGGAUGCUGGAACCGCCCAGUCCCGGGCUACGCCCGGCGAGCACCGGUGCUGCAACCGACGGCGUCAAGCACUAGACCCGGCAAGGGGUUGUGCUGGGUUUGCCCCUUUUUUGAGCACAUACAACACCAAUGUUACCACCAGUGAUUUGUUUUGCCAGCACCGGCGGCAAAUUUUGCUGGAAUCGGUGACUUUUUUUCCUGGGAUCCGUAAUUUUGUGUGAUUUUUGCUGCAUCCGGCAUUCGAUUUUGCUACGACCCGCAUUGAAUUUUGUUGGAAUCGGCGAGUGUUUCUUUGCUCGGUUGUGCAAAUGUGAUGUUUUUUCCGGUCAAUUUUUUUUGCUACAACCAUGUUUUGAUUUUGCUGGAACCGGAGACAAUUUUUGCUACAUCCAUGUUUUGAUUUUGCUGGAACCGGACACAAUUUUUGCUACAUCCACCCACGGCGGUGUUGGUCGACGGCGGCGAUGGCUAUUUUUCGCUACAACCGUCUCAGAGUUUUUGCUACUACCGGAGAUGUCAUUUGCUACUAUUAGAGUUUUUUUUUCUGUACCAACAUUUUUUUGCUACAACCAUAACUUCAAUUUUGCUGGAACCACGUUUUCAAAAGAUUCAACAGGGUGCGGUGACACAGAGGUGCUUUUUUGACAAUUUUUUGUUGUUGCGAGCAUCGGCGGCGAGGAUGACACGGAGCUGCAACCGGCGACUGGCGUUGCCGGAGCCGCGACCAUCACCAGCUAGGGAAGCUGCAACCCACGGGCGAAGUUUUUGCUGUGCGUGGAUCCCAACGAGAAACAUGGGAGAAGACGGCGGCGACUGGCGGCGAGCGCGGCAUCCAGCAGCGCAGGGGCGACGGAGAGAGGAGGUCCAAGUGAGUGGGUGAUGGCCGGCGGCCGGGAGGACGUCGAGGCCACCGGGCUUUAUGGAGAGGAAGAGGGAGAGAAAAAGUCAACGCGGGGAUCAGGGAUCGAACGACUCGUAGUCGCUUGAUCGGGCGGUUGGGGCUAGUCCGGUCCAACUGUUCGCCGGACUGCCGGCGCCUAUCACUGCCCUUCGGACUAUGCAAGAACUACAGGAAAUAAACAUCACGUAUGUAUCUAGCUUGCUUGUUUCUUCCCAGCCGAUCGAAUCACAACUUCUUCGGUAGUCCUGAAAUUUGGUUUGAUGUUUUUCUGUGGUAGUUGAAUCUAGAGCAACAUAGAACCAACUAAAACUUGUUGCAUUGAGUUAUAAUGGCCCAAGUUUAUUUCCUUCUGUGUAGCUUUAUCACCGGUGGUUAUAGCAUCCCCUUCCUCUUGAAACGAAGCCACGGUUUCAUGAUAGCAUUACGACUCGUAGUGAAAUGACAAAAAAGACCACAUGCAAUUAAAAUUGCAAAAAUUACCGUGGCCGCAAGCUCGGCAGGCGGCACGUGUCCCUGCCGCCGUAGCCUGUUGCGGCAAGACCUGCCACCGUAGACCGUGGCGGCAGGUUGGGAAUCACAGGAAUUCGCGAGAAGGGAAAACAUAAAAUAGUACAGGGGCAGCGAGUGCUGCUGCUCGCGCGACGCGCACCCUAGAGCUCUGUCAAUACAAGUAUCAGUUACUAGGGCACUCUUUUAGUUCAGUGCCGCAUCACCCUGUAACUUGCUUCUUGUAAUCUUCGAUUCAUUUUUUUUGAACGGAGGCAAAAAGCUUUUCCUCACCCCAGUCUUUUAACGGUUACGGGACCACACAAGUUCAAGAGGGAAUCACUCUCCCAUUAAAAUGUUGCCUAGAAAUUGACCGGGGAUGACCCCUGGGUAGGCUCAACG
This 31768-nucleotide long non-coding RNA is filed under the name Triticum aestivum (bread wheat). RNAcentral describes it as "long non-coding RNA (TAES_LNC010102)". Lineage: Eukaryota; Viridiplantae; Streptophyta; Magnoliopsida; Poales; Poaceae. The record is from RNAcentral.